GGAAGCGUGGCCGAGUGGUCGAAGGCACCGGUCUUGAAAACCGGCAGGCGCGAAAGCGUCUCGUGGGUUCGAAUCCCACCGCUUCUGCCA
This 90-nucleotide transfer RNA is filed under the name Jannaschia donghaensis. RNAcentral's name for it is "tRNA-Ser". It matches the Rfam family "tRNA". From Rfam's summary of the family: Transfer RNA (tRNA) molecules are approximately 80 nucleotides in length. The record is from RNAcentral. Lineage: Bacteria; Pseudomonadati; Pseudomonadota; Alphaproteobacteria; Rhodobacterales; Roseobacteraceae.